This 443-nucleotide ribosomal RNA is filed under the name uncultured bacterium. Its description in RNAcentral is "partial 16S ribosomal RNA". It matches the Rfam family "Bacterial small subunit ribosomal RNA", at positions 338 to 795 of the family's 1533-position model. The record is from RNAcentral.
CCUACGGGAGGCAGCAGUGGGGAAUAUUGGGCAAUGGGCGCAAGCCUGACCCAGCAACGCCGCGUGAAGGAAGAAGGCUUUCGGGUUGUAAACCUCUUUUAUCAGGGACGAAGCAAGUCACUGUUCCUGAUGAAUAAGCUACGGGUAACUACGUGCCAGCCGCCGCGGUAAUACGUGGGUGGCAAGCGUUUUCCGGAUGUACUGGGUGUAAAGGGCGUGUAGGCGGGAGUGCAAGUCAGAUGUGAAAACUAUGGGCUCAACCCAUAGCCUGCAUUUGAAACUGUACUUCUUGAGUGCUGGAGAGGCGAUCGGAAUUCCGUGUGUAGCGGUGAAAUGCGUAGAUAUACGGAGGAACACCAGUGGCGAAGGCGGAUUGCUGGACAGUAACUGACGCUGAGGCGCGAAAGCGUGGGGAGCAAACAGGAUUAGAUACCCCAGUAGUC